This 1058-nucleotide long non-coding RNA is filed under the name Lotus japonicus. Its description in RNAcentral is "long non-coding RNA (LJAP_LNC000298)". Lineage: Eukaryota; Viridiplantae; Streptophyta; Magnoliopsida; Fabales; Fabaceae. The record is from RNAcentral.
UAAGGUGCAAUAGCUGUUGGGUCAUGCACUGGUGCAAGACACUUUCACAACCACAAAAAUAGAAUAUUCUGUUAAGAUGCCAUAUGGGUUACCUAUUGAACCUGUAAUUUUAGAUUUAUAAUUUAUUAUGAUUUUAAUUUGUCUUUUACAUUAAAACCCCUACAUUUCUUCCUCAAUACUUGAAAGAUUCAAAUCUUAAAAAACUGGGACACAGAAACACAAAUCAUAAUACGCUUGAAUCAACAAUGUAGCUAUGGAAGAAUCUCUACACAACAAUAAAGGGGAGAACACCUCAAUCUUACUCUCGAAAAUACAUACAAACAAUCCAUUUUAAUUUUAAAAUCCUUCACCCCAAUCCCCAUAACCUUGUAUCAAUCCAGAAUUUUUUUAAGAGGAAGUUGUAACGCACUCAAUACCUUGACCAAAAUUAUAUCAAAAUAAUCAAAUGAGAUCAGAAUAAAAAUAAGAACCAAACCCAGAUUUUGAACUACCAUUUCUCAGAAUCAGACCCACACUAGAGGUUAGCCAUCGUCGCUGGGAAGAUGAUCUGGGUGCAAAUGGACCUCGGAACCUGAAAAGAGCACCAAAUCUGGGUUGUCUCCGAAUGAGGGUUUGAAUUUUCUCGAUCUGAUUGGUUGUGGCAGCGAUUGUUCCUGAUGGAACUUUGAUGCAACCCCAUUUCCGCCGCCAAAAGGGGAAGUGGUGUGGCGGAGGUCAUUGUUCUUCGAGUGAACCAGAUUUGGUUAGUCCAUGCCCAUCUGUCACUGAAAAUAUUUUGGCUGUCCAGAUCUGGGUUAGACGCAUUCACGGUGGUGGGUUGGAUCUUUGGGCGAAUCUGUGCAAUCUCUGAUCAUGUGGGAUCAUCACUUUCUUUCCACGCUGUGUUUUCUUCAUUCUCUUUUGUUGAUUUUGAUUUUGAUAUAUCUGCAACAUGCAUGAUUUUUGAUAUUCUGCAACAUGUUGAAGAGAGAGGCAGCGAGAAGGGAGAAGGAGAGGUAGAGAGAAGGUAGAAUGUAAAAAGGGUAUUUUUGUAAUCUUCUAUUAUUAUUUUUUUUAUC